Long non-coding RNA from Dalotia coriaria, 2290 nucleotides. RefSeq lists it as uncharacterized. The transcript has 2 exons. The record is from RefSeq and is a predicted model, not a curated record. Lineage: Eukaryota; Metazoa; Arthropoda; Insecta; Coleoptera; Staphylinidae.
ACACGUACACGUUUCUCGCGAAUUGUGAUGUUUUAUCGGUAACUCAAAAUGUGUUUGGUAAUAAAUCGGUGGAAUAUAGUGACAAUAGACAUGUUUGAUGUCUUGCAGACAAUUUAUCGCAAGUGGAGUGUUCGUAAUACUCAUAAUGAACAUGGUUUCGCGUGUUUGCAAAAGUGGGUUCAGGUUUCACUGAUUUGUCCAUGCAGCAUAGAGAUUACAGAACGCUGAACUUAUAGGCAGGUCGGGAAUGAAUUAUAGGCCUGGCGGGACUGGAAGAGGCGCCACUCUUGCAUCAUAUUGUAAGUAUUCCUUUCCUUUAUGAUAUUCAUGACUUAGUUAUGAGAUUUUCAUACGGGGAAGCCAUUAAAAUGGCAUUUUUGUGUUUCGAGGCACUUAUUUUUGUUUUUUUAGAGCUCUUGAAAUUAAAUAAGACCUUGCAGGGGAGCUAUCUUUGCAUUAACUUAUGAGUAUUGCAAUUCUUUAUUAUAUUAAUGAGUUACUUUUGAAAUUUUUGCAUACGGGAGCCAUAAAAUGACAUUUUUGUGUUUCGAGGCACUAAUUUUUAUUUGUUUUAGGGCUCCAGAAAUUGAAUGGGACAUCGUAGGGAAGCCAUUCUUGCAUCAAAUUGUGAGUAUUACAAUUCUUUAUUAUAUUAUUGACUUAGUUUUGAGAUUUUUGCAUGCGGGCACCAAAAAAAUUACAUUUUUGUGUUUUGAGGCCCUGAUUAUUGUUUGUUUUAGGGCCUUAGAAAUUGAAUGGGACCUUGUAGGGGCACCAUUUUUGCAUCAAAUUGUGAAUAUUGGAAUUCUUUAUUAUAUUAAUCACUUAGAUUUGAGAUUUUUGCACACGGGAGCCAAAAAAAUUGCACUUUUGUGAUUUGAGGCACUGAUUUUUGUUGUUUUUGGGCUCUAGGUAUGGAAUGGAAGCUUGCAGAGGAGCCAUUCUUGCUUCAAAUUGUGAGUAAUGCAAUUAUUUAUUAUAAUAAUGACGUAGUUUUGCGAUUUUUGCUCGCGGAAGCACAAAAAAUGAUAAUUUUAUGUUUCGAGGCUCUAAUUUUGCAUGUUUUGGGGCUCUAGAAAUUGAAUGGAAACCCACAGGACAGCCAUUCUUGCAUUAAAUUGGCUCUAGAAAUUGAACAAGACCUUACAGGAGAGUCAUUCUUACAUCAAACUGUAAGUAUUUUAAUUCUUUAUUAUAUUCAUAACUUAGUUUUGUAAUUUUCGCAUGCGGAAGCCAUAAAAAUUGAAUUUUUGUGUUUUGAGGCACUGAUUUUGGUUUGUUUUGAGGCUGUAGAAAUUAAAAGGGACCUCAUAGGGGUGCCAUUUAUAUUUUAAAGCUUUAAUAUUGCAAUUUUUCAUUGUAUUAAUGACUUAGUUUUGUGCUUUACAUGCACCGAAAGUAUAAAUGAGGUAUUUUUCUAAUUUAAGUAAUUAAAUUUGAUAGGGUUUGAGCGUGCAUGUGAUAAGUAACAGCGACACAUCAAAAUGAGGCAAUUAAAAUCUUUUCCACUCUAAUUCCAAUUUUGUUUAAUUUUUAAAUAAAAUGAUAUUUGAAUUUAAAUGUUAAUAGCUGUAUUAUAGCUUCCUGUAACUUAAAUAGCGAUAGUCAGUGCACCCGAAACUAGAGGGCGCUAGUGUACGCAACUUUUGCUAUUCAUGUUAAUUGGUUUGAACUUCCACACCUAGAUGGCGCUCGUGUCGCCGUAAUUUGCUGUUGCUAUCAAUUCGUUCACCUGUUUAGUCUGGUUUGCGCCGCGGAGCAGUUCGCGUGUUUACUUCAACUCCUCGACGGUUAAAUUUAUUUCAUUGUUUUUAUGUGUUUUGAGAACUUUCAUUUAACGCAUGCAUAAGCGAAAAUGGUAUAUUCAUCUGAGUUCCUACGGCAACCGGCACCUGGAUAUUUUCUUCCAACGUUUUCUUUGCUGUGAACACGAUGCGCUGCGAUGUCUGGUACACGCGUUUUUAAUCAUUUGUUUUGCUUCAUCCGAUCUUCCGCAUGGCAUGGCAUUUUUCAUCGCGAAACCACCAAUUGCCAUUUUAAUUCCUGAGGGCGCAUCAGUCGUGGAAAUAACUAAUUCAGAAGUUUGCUAAGUGAAAUGUAAUAGAACUAGUAUUAGCAUGAACUGGAUUUUAACCAACAACUUUAAACAUUUGCGUUCAGGUUAGUAUUUGUGUCAUUUGAUUUUUUUGGUCAGUAGAACACCUUUUAAUAUUAUGUCAUAUUGAACUUUUUAUAAUUUUACAGUUACAUUUUUUUAUUCUAAUAAAUGAGUUCCAACCGGAAAACAAAA